GACGAACGCUGGCGGCGUGCUUAACACAUGCAAGUCGAACGGAAAGGCCCUGCUUUUGUGGGGUGCUCGAGUGGCGAACGGGUGAGUAACACGUGAGUAGCCUGCCCUUGACUUUGGGAUAACUUCAGGAAACUGGGGCUAAUACCGGAUAGGAGCUCCUGCUGCAUGGUGGGGGUUGGAAAGUUUCGGCGGUUGGGGGUGGACUCGCGGCUUAUCAGCUUGUUGGUGGGGUAGUGGCUUACCAAGGCUUUGACGGGUAGCCGGCCUGAGAGGGUGACCGGCCACAUUGGGACUGAGAUACGGCCCAGACUCCUACGGGAGGCAGCAGUGGGGAAUAUUGCACAAUGGGCGGAAGCCUGAUGCAGCAACGCCGCGUGCGGGAUGACGGCCUUCGGGUUGUAAACCGCUUUCGCCUGUGACGAAGCGUGAGUGACGGUAAUGGGUAAAGAAGCACCGGCUAACUACGUG
RNAcentral lists this ribosomal RNA (468 nucleotides) under uncultured bacterium. Its description in RNAcentral is "partial 16S ribosomal RNA". It matches the Rfam family "Bacterial small subunit ribosomal RNA", at positions 28 to 507 of the family's 1533-position model. The record is from RNAcentral.